UAGGGAAUCUUCGGCAAUGGACGGAAGUCUGACCGAGCAACGCCGCGUGAGUGAAGAAGGUUUUCGGAUCGUAAAGCUCUGUUGUAAGAGAAGAACGAGUGUGAGAGUGGAAAGUUCACACUGUGACGGUAUCUUACCAGAAAGGGACGGCUAACUACGUGCCAGCAGCCGCGGUAAUACGUAGGUCCCGAGCGUUGUCCGGAUUUAUUGGGCGUAAAGCGAGCGCAGGCGGUUAGAUAAGUCUGAAGUUAAAGGCUGUGGCUUAACCAUAGUACGCUUUGGAAACUGUUUAACUUGAGUGCAAGAGGGGAGAGUGGAAUUCCAUGUGUAGCGGUGAAAUGCGUAGAUAUAUGGAGGAACACCGGUGGCGAAAGCGGCUCUCUGGCUUGUAGCUGACGCUGAGGCUCGAAAGCGUGGGGAGCAAACAGGAUUAGAUACCCUGGUAGUCCACGCCGUAAACGAUGAGUGCUAGGUGUUAGACCCUUUCCGGGGUUUAGUGCCGUAGCUAACGCAUUAAGCACUCCGCCUGGGGAGUACGACCGCAAGGUUG
Molecule: ribosomal RNA, 550 nt
Filed under: uncultured bacterium
Lineage: Bacteria
Description: bacterial SSU rRNA
Rfam family: Bacterial small subunit ribosomal RNA
Source: RNAcentral